UUACACGUUUUGAACCCAGGGAAUACACCAUAUAUUGAGAGAGAGAUUCCAUUUUUCAGGAAGGGAGCACGAUCAGUAAAAAAAACAACAACAAAAAAAAAAGUAGCAGAAUUUUUUUUUUCUUUUCCUCUUCAGAGACAUCAGAUCAUCUUCUCCAAAAAAGGAUUCCUCCAUUUUUGGAGUUCAAUAGAAACAAAUCUCACGCUUUUACCAUCAGCAGUCACCGGUGCGACCUGAACUCCCUCCCGCAAGUUGUUGUAUCAGUCGCCGGCGAUCUCGGAAACCGAAGACGAGACCGGAAAAGAUAGGUGAAAUGACGUCAUUAUCGGCGUCGCCUCUGUGUUCACUGCCGCUGCUGAUGUAACCGAGCUCCCGGAAAUAGCCUCCGCCGGCGCAAGCUCUGGCGUCUCAGUUGGAAUUCGUCGUUUGUCCGUCAUCGGUGUCACGUCUGAAUCAUACGGAUUCUGUUUUGGUUUUUCUAGAGUUCAACCUCUGUUUUGGUUUGAUUCCGACCAUUUCGGGUUCGAUUUCGUCAUGUGCAGGGUCAACUUUGGUCUGUUCGGUUUAAUUCUGGUCAGUUCGGUUUAGUUUCAGCUCGUCGGGGGGGUUUGUAUUGAAUACUCUCAAGUCGUUUUCAUGGAUUUUGGUAUUUGAAUCGGAAUGUGAAUUCGGGUUUUGUACCGAAUUGGUUCGUCGUUGAGGUUCUCUAUUCAGGAUUUCAGGUCCGGGUUCUCUUAAACAUUAUUAUUAUCAACAAAUCUGUUCUUCGAAGUGCAUGAUGAAGAAGUUUAUUAUCUUGAUGCUGCAGAAGAUGACGAUGAUGAUGAUUCAGAUGUUGAUGUUGCAGAAGAUGAUGAUAAUGAAGAUUUUGAUGCUGAUGCUACAGAACAUAAUAAUAAUUACGAUCGUAAUUGGUUGUUCAAUGUUCAAUGCCAGCCCUGCUCAUGAUGUGGGAGUUCUCAAAUACGCAGUAUUGCAUUUCUUAGGUCACCUAAUUUUGAGUAUUUGUAUUUGUUUUCUGGCUCAAGUAUUCAUAGCUGUUAUGUAAUCAAUGAUCUACUGAUGAGCCCAUCUUUGAAAGCCUUGGUAUGGGCCUUGCCAUCAAAUUGAAAUAACUGCUCCUCUUUUGAGGAAAACGUUGUUCC
This is a long non-coding RNA of Capsicum annuum, 1145 nucleotides long. RefSeq lists it as uncharacterized. NCBI's taxonomy places the organism in Eukaryota, Viridiplantae, Streptophyta, Magnoliopsida, Solanales, Solanaceae. The transcript has 2 exons. The record is from RefSeq and is a predicted model, not a curated record.